Molecule: transfer RNA, 72 nt
Filed under: Camelus bactrianus (Bactrian camel)
Lineage: Eukaryota; Metazoa; Chordata; Mammalia; Artiodactyla; Camelidae
Also listed under: 2 other names
Rfam family: tRNA
About the family: Transfer RNA (tRNA) molecules are approximately 80 nucleotides in length.
Source: Rfam by way of RNAcentral
GCGGGUGCAGCUCAGUGGUAGAGCGCAAGCUUAGCAUGCCUGGGGUCCUGGAUUCAAUGCCCAGAACUCCCA